AACCUGCCUAUAAGACUGGGAUAACUUCGGGAAACCGGAGCUAAUACCGGAUACGUUCUUUUCUCGCAUGAGAGAAGAUGGAAAGACGGUUUCGGCUGUCACUUAUAGAUGGGCCCGCGGCGCAUUAGCUAGUUGGUGAGGUAAUGGCUCACCAAGGCGACGAUGCGUAGCCGACCUGAGAGGGUGAUCGGCCACACUGGGACUGAGACACGGCCCAGACUCCUACGGGAGGCAGCAGUAGGGAAUCUUCCGCAAUGGACGAAAGUCUGACGGAGCAACGCCGCGUGAACGAAGAAGGCCUUCGGGUCGUAAAGUUCUGUUGUUAGGGAAGAACAAGUACCAGAGUAACUGCUGGUACCUUGACGGUACCUAACCAGAAAGCCACGGCUAACUACGUGCCAGCAGCCGCGGUAAUACGUAGGUGGCAAGCGUUGUCCGGAAUUAUUGGGCGUAAAGCGCGCGCAGGUGGUUCUUUAAGUCUGAUGUGAAAGCCCACGGCUCAACCGUGGAGGGUCAUUGGAAACUGGGGAACUUGAGUGCAGAAGAGGAAAGUGGAAUUCCAAGUGUAGCGGUGAAAUGCGUAGAGAUUUGGAGGAACACCAGUGGCGAAGGCGACUUUCUGGUCUGUAACUGACACUGAGGCGCGAAAGCGGGGGGGAGCAAACAGGGAUUAGAUACCCCUGGUAGUCCACGCCCGUAAACCGAUGAGUGCUAAGGGGUUAGAGGGGUUUCCGCCCCUUUAGGGGCUGCAGCCUAACGCCUUUAAGCACCUCCGCCCUGGGGGAGUACCGACCGCCAAGGGUUGAAAACUCCAAAAGGAAUUUGACGGGGGGCCCCGCACAAAGCGGGUGGAGCCAUGUGGGUUUAAAUUCCGAAAGCAACCGCGGAAGAAAACCUUAC
This 900-nucleotide ribosomal RNA is filed under the name Bacillus sp. ADB_BD014. RNAcentral's name for it is "bacterial SSU rRNA". It matches the Rfam family "Bacterial small subunit ribosomal RNA", at positions 123 to 974 of the family's 1533-position model. The record is from RNAcentral. Lineage: Bacteria; Bacillati; Bacillota; Bacilli; Caryophanales; Bacillaceae.